Molecule: ribosomal RNA, 468 nt
Filed under: uncultured bacterium
Lineage: Bacteria
Description: partial 16S ribosomal RNA
Rfam family: Bacterial small subunit ribosomal RNA
Source: RNAcentral
GACGAACGCUGGCGGCGUGCUUAACACAUGCAAGUCGAACGAUGAUGCCAGCUUGCUGGUGGAUUAGUGGCGAACGGGUGAGUAACACGUGAGCAACCUGCCCCUGACUUCGGGAUAACCGCGGGAAACCGUGGCUAAUACCGGAGAUGACGCGCUAUCGCAUGGUGGUGUGUGGAAAGAUUUAUCGGUUGGGGAUGGGCGCGCGGCCUAUCAGCUUGUUGGUGGGGUGAUGGCCUACCAAGGCGACGACGGGUAGCCGGCCUGAGAGGGUGACCGGCCACACUGGGACUGAGACACGGCCCAGACUCCUCCGGGAGGCAGCAGUGGGGAAUAUUGCACAAUGGGCGCAAGCCUGAUGCAGCGACGCCGCGUGAGGGAUGACGGCCUUCGAGUUGUAAACCUCUUUCAGUAGGGAAGCAGGCCUUCGGGUUGACGGUACCUGCAGAAGAAGCGCCGGCUAACUACGUG